RNAcentral lists this long non-coding RNA (345 nucleotides) under Octopus vulgaris (common octopus). The record is from RNAcentral. Lineage: Eukaryota; Metazoa; Mollusca; Cephalopoda; Octopoda; Octopodidae.
GCCAAUACUAGUCACGUGUUCUGCCAAGGAAAUGAAAAACUCCGGUAAUUUUUAUUGAAUGAUAAUUGCCAAGUAGCAAAACACUCAGAUUGUAUAUAAACAGUUGGUUUUAUGUAGCAAAUAGGUUGAUCGAUGGAUUAAUAAAUGCAAAUGCAGAAGAGAAUACAGACAAAAUUGCACGCACAUAAAAUGACAAUUUCUUUUCAUUACAACAACUUGAAACUGACGAUCUUGCUUCUUGGAUUAUUAUCGUUCUAUAUUCAGUUGAUGCUCUGCUUUUCUUAAAGGCGUAGAGAAACAAUGUUAAUGGACUGAAAGCUAUGAAAUUAUAUGCAUUAAGGUAUU